This 64-nucleotide transfer RNA is filed under the name Paenibacillus senegalimassiliensis. It matches the Rfam family "tRNA", at positions 6 to 65 of the family's 71-position model. Rfam says of the family: Transfer RNA (tRNA) molecules are approximately 80 nucleotides in length. Their secondary structure includes four short double-helical elements and three loops (D, anti-codon, and T loops). The record is from RNAcentral. Lineage: Bacteria; Bacillati; Bacillota; Bacilli; Caryophanales; Paenibacillaceae.
CGGUAGCUCAGUUGGAUAGAGCACCUGUUUCGCAAACAGAAGGGCGAGGGUUCGAGUCCCUCCC